GACGUAGGGCGCGAGCGUUGUCCGGAUUUAUUGGGCGUAAAGAGCUCGUAGGCGGCUUGUCGCGUCGACUGUGAAAUCCCGCGGCUCAACUGCGGGUCUGCAGUCGAUACGGGCAGGCUAGAGUUCGGUAGGGGAGACUGGAAUUCCUGGUGUAGCGGUGAAAUGCGCAGAUAUCAGGAGGAACACCGAUGGCGAAGGCAGGUCUCUGGGCCGAUACUGACGCUGAGGAACGAAAGCGUGGGUAGCAAACAGG
This 253-nucleotide ribosomal RNA is filed under the name uncultured bacterium. Its description in RNAcentral is "partial 16S ribosomal RNA". It matches the Rfam family "Bacterial small subunit ribosomal RNA", at positions 524 to 776 of the family's 1533-position model. The record is from RNAcentral.